This 253-nucleotide ribosomal RNA is filed under the name uncultured bacterium. Its description in RNAcentral is "partial 16S ribosomal RNA". It matches the Rfam family "Bacterial small subunit ribosomal RNA", at positions 524 to 776 of the family's 1533-position model. The record is from RNAcentral.
UACGGGGGGGGCAAGCGUUGUUCGGAAUUACUGGGCGUAAAGGGCUCGUAGGCGGCCAACUAAGUCAGACGUGAAAUCCCCAGGCUCAACCUGGGAACUGCGUCUGAUACUGGAUGGCUUGAAUCCGGGAGAGGGAUGCAGAAUUCCAGGUGUAGCGGUGAAAUGCGUAGAUAUCUGGAGGAAUACCGGUGGCGAAGGCGGCAUUCUGGACCGACAUUGACGCUGAGGAGCGAAAGCCAGGGGAGCAAACGGG